UACGGAGGGUGCAAACGUUGCUCGGAAUCAUUGGGCGUAAAGCGCACGUAGGCGGCCCGGCAAGUCGGGUGUGAAAACCCUCGGCUUAACCGAGGAAGUGCAUUCGAAACUAUCGGGCUUGAGUACUGAAGAGGGUCUCGGAAUUCCCGGUGUAGAGGUGAAAUUCGUAGAUAUCGGGAGGAACACCAGUGGCGAAGGCGGAGACCUGGGCAGAUACUGACGCUGAGGUGCGAAAGCGUGGGGAGCAAACAGG
This 253-nucleotide ribosomal RNA is filed under the name uncultured bacterium. Its description in RNAcentral is "partial 16S ribosomal RNA". It matches the Rfam family "Bacterial small subunit ribosomal RNA", at positions 524 to 776 of the family's 1533-position model. The record is from RNAcentral.